Long non-coding RNA from Oxyura jamaicensis (ruddy duck), 5743 nucleotides. RefSeq lists it as uncharacterized. The record is from RefSeq and is a predicted model, not a curated record. The transcript is spliced from 6 exons. NCBI's taxonomy places the organism in Eukaryota, Metazoa, Chordata, Aves, Anseriformes, Anatidae.
AGCUGGUCAGCUUCCUCCUGUGCUGAGACCAGUUUGGGCUGGGGACUGACUCCAGAAGCUCUGGUUUGCACUCAGAGGCACUGCCUGUUGCUCUGUGCUGAAAGCUGCCCCAUUUCCAUCUGCCCAGUGUGCAGUUGCUGCCUCGCCAGCCUGGCUCACCUGCAUUGUUCUGUGUGCAGGUAGGAGGAGAGGGAGAGGUUUGGGAUAAGGGCUGUGACCCCGUCCCCCUGCUCCUUUCCUCCUCACCAGUGUGUGCUCAUAGAUAACACAUGGCAUGGCACGGCUGGCGUCUUCUGGGCUAGCUUCAUGCUGGGUGCUGCAGCACAAUGUAGGGAUAUCCGAGCUCAGCUGGGACAAGCAGCAGUGCUUUUUCUGCAGACUCAGCUGGGGGAGCACCGAGCAGGUAGGAUGUUACUGGUUUGGCACCCAUCCUAACCAGCUAAAGCUUGUCGUGUGCACACAUGCUGCUUGCUGCGUGGUGGAUGUGCUGAGACGUUUGCAAAAGGCGUAACUUCUGAAUUUUUACUCCUUUUACACCAGUUGCUUUUCUAAGGCUGUUUUCCAGGUGCUGCUGCAUACCUGCUCUGGUAAGAGCUGGAAUGUGCUGAUUGCUUCAGCAUCCUUCACAUCGCUGAGUAGUUACAGAGCUCUUGGAUGGCUGUGGUGAGCAGGGCAAGUGCUUUAGUAUAACAUGCAGAUAGACGGCUUGGUGUGGGUAAUGGUUCCCUUUGGAUCCUUUAUUGAGGAAUGGUUCCUGAAACAACAGUGCUGCUUGUACGAAAUCCUGUUUUGACAGCUAAUGAAAGCUUGAAUCCUUACAAUGCUGGCGGAUGCCAUUUCUGUUAAAAUUAUUACCAGCAGCUCUGCAGUUUGGGGAGCCAAGUUUCACUGAAAGCACGAUUACUCUAGCAUUUGCAAAGACGGCACGUCAUAAUUUCCUAAGGCAACACUAACAAUUUAGUGUAUUUGCUUCCCAGAGUGUGCUGCGUGAGCCUGAGCUGACAUGUGCGAGAGCAGGUGGCCGCUGUCAGCGCUGGGGAAGCACGGGGAGGAAACCUCCUGCUGCUGCUGCUUUCCAGCUCCUUGGGUACCGUGUGCGCAUUGCACGCCAUCGCUUGGUGUCCCCAGCUACUGCUGAGAGCGCUGGUCUGCCUCGUGCUGGGAAGUCCUCAGCUCUUCAUUUGAUAGGCAUCAGUGCUGGCAUUGCUUCAUUGCAGAGCUUGGACAUGGAAUCAAUCAUUCAGGAGGUACGGCAAGGGAAAGGGGUUGAAAACAAAUCAGGAGAGGGAAAGAGGCGAUAGAAGAAAUCACAUUCAUUAACUGGGGUGAUGUCAAACUGCUCUUUUUCACCUGUUUCCUGGUUACAGGAGAGGGCAGACGUUCUGAGCAUAGCUCUUACUUGCCAUUUGACAGGCUUAUCUGUGUGUACAAGUACUCGUGCAAGCUUAUGAAUAGUCAGGAAAAGCUUUUGAGCUGUGGGUCAAACCUGCCCAAGUUAGCAGCGAGCAAAGCUGCUGGGACAUGCAGCCCAACUGCUGGUCAUUCCCUCUUCCUGAGCGCCGCUGUGCAAGUAAUAGACACCGUCCACAUUUCUGCUUGGCGUCUUUCCCUGUAUUUGUCCUUCUGAUCUUGUGUUUAUGCCCUUCCCUACUGCUUUGCUCCUAAGCCGUGGAAGUGGAUGAGGUGUGGGGCCCUUGGGCUGCUGCCACGAGCAGGCAGGGCUUGCUCCAUCUGUCUCUGCCACGGCUGGGCACCGCUGCUCCAAGCUCGUGGGGAAGGAGAGCGGCUGCAGCAGUGCACCAGAAAGGAGAUUGAUCUUCUGAGAGGUUUGAAUACCCAAGUCCAUUAGAGUUUCCUGGGAAAUAUCAGCUCGGAUUCAUGCUGGCGUACCUUGGAAAUCUUUUAAAAUUAAGUACCAAAAAUCAAUGCGUUGCAAGACUCCCAGCAUGUAAUUCUGAACCCAUUUGGAGAUUUGUGCUAAUUUUGAAAAUAAUCUUUCUAUUUUAACUGUUACUUUGAACGUAUUUUGAAAGUAUUUUGAACUUGUAUAGAAAGGGAACAAUUAAAGGAAAGAUUACAUUGUGUUACUUUAAUUGUGAUGGAUUGAAUCAUUUGCUGAAGGAAAAUAUCUACAAAGCGUAUCGAAGUGCAGAAGCAAAAAUGAAAAUGAAAAUUGGUCUCAGCUGUUCCACUCCCCAUGACAAAAGUGUAUUUAUGUAAUCCAUUCCUUCUUGUAUCUUGAUAGUGCUGCGCACACAGUGCAUGAAUUAAUUCUACUGAGAACUGCGGUGAGAUUGUCUCUGAGCCCGUGUAAGCACGAGGAAUGCACCUUGACUCUCUGGUCCCCUGCAUAUUCAACGUGGCUGUUGCUGGUGCUUGGUUCCACCAGCAGUGCCAAGGGCCACGCAGUGGAGGUUGAGGCACAUGGGGUUUUGUGACAGCCCUCAAUUAGCCGGUAGUUUUCUCUUUGAAAGAGCACUUCUUAGAGAGCAGCUUUAGGUGGCUUUCCAGCUGCUCCACUCGGGACAGAACUUCUCUUGGGAGUGAAAUUUUGGUCUAAGAGCUUCCUGUGCUGGCAGCCUGGGGAAGAAAAACACACCUGCCACUGAGAGUGGGAAGAAUUCACUGAUAGCUAUGAGACAGGCUCACCCUGCAGGGCAGGGAAGGAGAUCCUGAACCCGUAGGGUUUUUCUCUGCCCUGGUCCCACUGAUGUGCUUUAAUCAUCACGCAGGUCUGGAUGGAAAGCAGUGCCCCAAAAAGGCAGGGUUUGGAGAUAGAGCGUGCGGUAUCUUGACAGCAAGUAGUUUAUAUCUACCUGUAUGAUGUACAGACAGUGCUUUAAUUCAUGCUGUCCUCUCACCAACAGUUAAGUGUAAUUGUUAAUGGCAGGUUCAGUAACAGUGUCCUGCACAACUGCACUAAUUGCAAAUCCUGGAUCUCCCUGGAAGCAAAGUCCCCCUGCUCGCAGGAGAGCUGCGAAGCUGCCGUUGCCGGUGUAAGUGAAUGUCCCGUGGUGCUGUGUAAUGAGAGCACGGUGGGUGAAAGGAGCGCUGCAGCAGCUCGCGUGGCAGUGGUGCCCUGAAUUCAGAGCUCUAUUCCUUCCCAGGGACACUGCUGCAUCUUGGAAGCUGUAAGAGGUCGAAGCAAUAGAGUCUAACACCUGCCAUAAACCCUGUCUCGGAACUAAGGUUAAGGCUAAGGUUGUUUUGGUGAGAAUGAAGCAAGAGCAUCAGCUCCCCUUCCUGCCUCUCCAGCUUCUGGGGACUGAGGGAUUCACAGUCUCUGUGUGCUUCCUUUAUUGUGGAAAAUGCUUCCUCCAUUGUGAGCUAGGGGCAUUUUAUUUUCAUGAAAAUCCUCCCUGCAGUGUGGCAAGGGUCCAGCUGGCCACAUGCUAUUGCCACGCACUGCCGGAGUAUAGCGGUCAUGUUGGACUUCCUCGUCCGUCUGAUGAAAUGAAUUCCUUUUCUCUGAGGCAGGACGGGGAAUGUAUGGGUGUGUAUUGGGUAUGGUGAGACAGAGCACGCGGAGAGGAAAAAGGCUGUCUUCUGGCAGCCUCCCAUGUGAAGCCAGGGAGGAGGUAGAGACGUGUUAAUUGAUUGUGGGUGCAAACAAAAUUGUUCCCCAGCCAGUCUCUUGCUCCGAAAGGUAUUAAGUCACUGGUGAAACUUGUACAGCUUUCACCUUCAUAAAAUCAGGCAACAAAUGGUAAACAAAUGAUGAUUUUAUUAGUGCUGUCCUUUUGGGGGAUCUAAACUAAAUCUAGGUUGUGAUCUAUCGAACAGGUUCUCUCGCCUUAAUUUUCAUGGCUCGGCUUUCCCUGCAGCUGUACUGCCUGAGAGCCAAGCACCCAUCACUUCCAUUCCCAGCGGUGCUGUCAGCUGCAGGUGCUCAAUACUUCUGGGACUGGCAGGAAAGCAAGCAAUACUCCUAGCCGAAGGUCUGCUUUGUGCAGGCAGUUCCCGUGUUUUCUAACCCGCCCAGCCCAGCAUGUACCUCAGAGGAUCUGAAGACGUUUAACUAGACUUGGAAGUAGACUGUGUAAUGGAGCGUGAAAAAACGUUUUAGUCUGACCAUGUGCUCUAUAAUAUCAGAUCAAUCAGCCAUCUGGCUUGGGAAAAUGGAAUCAUCUUGAUUACCGAAGUGUGCGGAUCCCUCUGGGAGCUGCAGUUAGCUGCUGAGCGUCUCUGAAGAGUGCCCUGCUCUCCUCGCGUGUCUUUCACAGCAGCUUGCUGACAAGUCUCGACACAAGACAGACACAAAUCAAUAGCAUGUUUUUAAAUGUUAGUGAGAUGGAAUUUCAGGGAGCCUUCAUGUUAAUGUCAUUUGGCACUUACACGGAGUAAACAGCAGACGAGGAAAAGCAGACUUGAAUUUGGCUCCGAGAGAGUGAUGUGAGUCCAGGCCCAGCACCUAUUUAACUCCCUGAGGUGUGCUGCGGAAAGCAGGUGGCCUGUGCUUGAGCAGGAAAACUGCUGGGCUCCAGCGUCGGAUUUGUUGUGCAGGUGCAGUUGGUUUACAGCACAUGUGGUCAGCCUGACCCUUCCCGGGAAAGAUCUGAGCAUCACCACUGAUUUCGGCAUUCAGAGCUGCUGGAGUGUGACACAUUCCAUGAUUCCUCCCUGCCCGGCUGGUGAAAGCACUUCUCCACUCCGGAGCGAGCCCCGAGACCCAGCACUUCCCUCAAACAAAGAGCUGGAGACAGACGGCGCCUGCAGGACUCAUCCUAAUGGGAGCCAGUUUCGGGAGAAAGCCUAGGCUGUGAUUUCGAGAUCUUUGGUGUUGGUUUAAAUGAGCUCUGCGAGUCCCAGGGAGGAGACUCAUUUUUUGGUUCUGUGCCUCCUGCAUAGGUGCUGUGUAUCACACAUUUUCAGUGGCUCACAGCAACUAGAUGGAAAAGUCUCAUUUCAGGAGCAAGUAGGGGCACGUAGUUCAUAGGAAUGGGUCCUACCCAUUAAGGCUUUCUGUAGUAUCAGAGGAGACACUUCUGUCUGCAGGAGAUGGGUCUGUAUAUUUUAAAGGUGUUCUUCACUUGUUCCUUUUCAUAGAUCAACCAGUGAGAAGUGCAAAUGAAGAGGAAACAUUGGGUUAUAUUUGAAUGUGGUCAGCUACUGAUUUUCCCUAGUGAUUUGUUCACGUCUUAAAAACCCUCAUUUCCUCCUCCUGAUGACAGAAGCAGGGACUUCUUUCUUUGAUCUCUUGGCAUACCUGUCCCUCUUGUAUCAGGGAGAAAAGUGAGCCAUACCAAAACGUUCUUUUUGGUGUCCAUGGAGGCCUUAAUUAGCUCUUCUUAAUUUUUCUUCCUUUUUGCUGUCAAUUAUUAACAGUCUAUAGAACUCUCAUGGGUUAUUUUCUACAUGAAAUAGACAUUAUUUUAGCUUGGGAAGGGCUACACAGUUUUUGUGAUACGGAGCAGACAAAAUACAUUUCUGUAUUUCCUGUAAUUGUGUGGAACUUUUACACAGCCUCUAGGAAACUUUUUUUUUUUUUUUUUUUUUUUUUAAACAGAGUAGGGUAUGGCUAUUUUUAAACCACAAAUAUUUCAGUGAUUCUAUGGGCCUAUUCUCUUUUCUAAACUAGCUACAGUGAUUGUGUCUGUUCAUGCAUUGAGAUAAAUGGAUCUAAACACAUGAUGUCUUUCCCUGUGAGUGGCAGUCAAACACGGAGAUUUAAUAGUCCUGUCAUGUUAAUGUUACUCUUAAAAGACUUGGCUAUAGCAGAAAACCACAAUUUAAUAAAAAUUGG